UACAGGGUGCUAACAAUGAGGUGAGAAAUGUACACGGAGAGGGUAAAUCAAAUGGCCACGAAACGCGGGGAAGCAGAACACUAAUCACGCUUCUUUCUCUUGAUCUUGGAAAGGGAUGCAUUUAAACGUAUUAAAUGAACAAGGAGACAGAAAAUAAGGAGGAUUCAAAACGUGGCGAAGUGGAGCCCCUUUAAUUUUCCUUCCCGUUGGGCGUGAAGGUGCAAUUUCCAGAAAAUAUAAGCAAUCCGAAUUACACUGAUGCAUAAAAAUGAAGGUUGCGGUGUGAUGUGUGGCUUAUUUUACUAAUUCCUUUUCAUCAGCAUCUACUAUUAAGCGGCACUUCUCUUUUGUCAUCACUUAGGAAUAAAACUCGAGCAGCUUUUAGGGAUCCUCAAGAUCGUCUGACAAAUGGGAGAGAAUUAAAGUUCAGGUUGAUGACUACAAUGUUUGGUGGACUACAUUCUUGAUUUGCUGUUUUCGUCUUCACCUUGCAACAUUAUACAGUCAAUUUUCAAGUGAUGAGUGAGAGCAACUGAAGAUUUAUGUGAAUUCCACUGAAAUAAGAAAUUUUCUGCAUUGGAAUUCCUCUUGGAUUUGAUUUGCUUUGCUUUUCACACCUGCAAACUUUGGAACAUUAUGGUCUACAGUUAAUUAAGAUCGACGUUGGAGAAGACAAAGAUGACCCCUUGGUUAAAACAGUUCUCUAUCUUGCAUGCUAUAUGUAAUAGAAUUCAAGUUCAUUUUAUUCAAAUUAGUUUUUUUAUUAUGCAUGUUUUUUUGUAGUUUAUUUAAAUUAGUUUUUA
This 803-nucleotide long non-coding RNA is filed under the name Agrilus planipennis (emerald ash borer). RNAcentral's name for it is "uncharacterized LOC112906394, transcript variant X3". Lineage: Eukaryota; Metazoa; Arthropoda; Insecta; Coleoptera; Buprestidae. The record is from RNAcentral.